GACGAACGCUGGCGGCGUGCUUAACACAUGCAAGUCGAACGAUGAAGCCUAGCUUGCUAGGUGGAUUAGUGGCGAACGGGUGAGUAAUACGUGAGUAACCUACCUUUAACUCUGGGAUAAGCCCGGGAAACUGGGUCUAAUACCGGAUACGACCAAUCUCCGCAUGGGGUGUUGGUGGAAAGCGUUAUGUAGUGGUUAUAGAUGGGCUCACGGCCUAUCAGCUUGUUGGUGAGGUAACGGCUCACCAAGGCGACGACGGGUAGCCGGCCUGAGAGGGUGACCGGCCACACUGGGACUGAGACACGGCCCAGACUCCUACGGGAGGCAGCAGUGGGGAAUAUUGCACAAUGGGCGCAAGCCUGAUGCAGCGACGCCGCGUGAGGGAUGACGGCCUUCGGGUUGUAAACCUCUGUUAGCANGGAAGAAGAGAGAUUGACGGUACCUGCAGAGAAAGCGCCGGCUAACUACGUGCCAGCAGCCGCGGUAAUACGUANGGCGCGAGCGUUGUCCGGAAUUUAUGGGCGUAAAGAGCUUGUANGCGGUUUGUCGCGUCUGCUGUGAAGGCCGGGGCUUAACUCCGUGUAUUGCAGUGGGUACGGGCAGACUAGAGUGCAGUAGGGGAGACUGGAAUUCCUGGUGUAGCGGUGGAAUGCGCAGAUAUCAGGAGGAACACCGAUGGCGAAGGCAGGUCUCUGGGCUGUAACUGACGCUGAGAAGCGAAAGCAUGGGGAGCGAACAGGAUUAGAUACCCUGGUAGUCCAUGCCGUAAACGUUGGGCACUAGGUGUGGGGAACAUUCCACGUUUUCCGCGCCGUAGCUAACGCAUUAAGUGCCCCGCCUGGGGAGUACGGCCGCAAGGCUAAAACUCAAAGAAAUUGACGGGGGCCCGCACAAGCGGCGGAGCAUGCGGAUUAAUUCGAUGCAACGCGAAGAACCUUACCAAGGCUUGACAUAUACUGGACCGCAUCAGAGAUGGUGUUUCCCUUCGGGGCUGGUAUACAGGUGGUGCAUGGUUGUCGUCAGCUCGUGUCGUGAGAUGUUGGGUUAAGUCCCGCAACGAGCGCAACCCUCGUUCUAUGUUGCCAGCACGUAAUGGUGGGGACUCAUAGGAGACUGCCGGGGUCAACUCGGAGGAAGGUGGGGAUGACGUCAAAUCAUCAUGCCCCUUAUGUCUUGGGCUUCACGCAUGCUACAAUGGCCGGUACAGAGGGUUGCGAUACUGUGAGGUGGAGCUAAUCCCUAAAAGCCGGUCUCAGUUCGGAUUGGGGUCUGCAACUCGACCCCAUGAAGUCGGAGUCGCUAGUAAUCGCAGAUCAGCAACGCUGCGGUGAAUACGUUCCCGGGCCU
RNAcentral lists this ribosomal RNA (1347 nucleotides) under uncultured bacterium. RNAcentral's name for it is "bacterial SSU rRNA". It matches the Rfam family "Bacterial small subunit ribosomal RNA", at positions 28 to 1381 of the family's 1533-position model. The record is from RNAcentral.